This 377-nucleotide ribosomal RNA is filed under the name uncultured delta proteobacterium. Its description in RNAcentral is "bacterial SSU rRNA". It matches the Rfam family "Bacterial small subunit ribosomal RNA", at positions 521 to 896 of the family's 1533-position model. The record is from RNAcentral. Lineage: Bacteria; Deltaproteobacteria.
UAAUACGGAGGGUGCAAGCGUUGUUCGGAAUUACUGGGCGUAAAGCGCGCGUAGGUGGCUUUUUAAGUCAGAUGUGAAAGUCCACGGCUCAACCGUGGAAGUGCAUUUGAAACUGGAAAGCUUGAGUAUUGGAGGGGGUAGUGGAAUUCCCGGUGUAGAGGUGAAAUUCGUAGAUAUCGGGAGGAAUACCAGUGGCGAAGGCGACUACCUGGCCAAAUACUGACACUGAGGUGCGAAAGCGUGGGGAGCAAACAGGAUUAGAUACCCCGGUAGUCCAUGCCGUAAACGUUGUAUACUAGAUGUGGGAGGAUUUAUCCCCUUCCGUGUCCAAGCUAACGCGAUAAGUAUACCGCCUGGGGACUACGGCCGCAAGGCUA